CAGAGAGAACCUAAAUGACACGACCGGGACUCCAUCACUGGCUUUGGUUCCAGAGAUACAUAAAAGCUGAGGAGCUGUGUGAACCCUCCACGUAGAGAAUGGGAACGUGACAUCAGUGGACAAGGAUGGCAAGCAAUGCAUUGUCGGACAUGGAUUUAGGACACGGAGCUUAGCAGCAGAGCCGGUUUAGAAGUACGAUUUGUUUUAUUAUUGUUUUGAUUUUGUGAUCAACCRUAAAAAAAAAAAAAAGGUGAACGCAAGCUGUGUUAUCAACAGCCAGUCAUUCUCACGAUCGGAGGAGGAACCGUAUUGCACACGGAUUGCGUUUUUUCCCCCAGUUUUUCAGUAAGAAAACAACACAGAGGAACCCAGGUUACCGAGCUAACAGAGACGUCGUAUGAUGGGUGACAGCUGCAACCUUCAGGAGUAUUUCCAGAAACAUGUUUGUGUGAUCACGGCAUUUCCACACAACAGGAAGAAACUCCAUACAGUGGCGUAUGUUUCAGAAGGAGAGGGGUUUCCCAGGAGCUCAGCACGGGAUGUCUCAGGAGCUAUGAAAGGUCUGUGCGAAAACGACUGCCGAACAACCACGUGACCGCGCGUCGACUCGUUGGCAUCGGAGGGAGGAAGCCAGCCUACAAGUUGUUGGGUUGUCAUCCUGACUGGGUACUGGCCUUACAUCCUGCACACAGAAGUUCAAGCUGGAGGAAAAUGUGAUCCUGAAUGAAGUUCUGAAAACUAAAACGAAUGAGCAAUUCUUACAAGAUGUGAUGGUCAAGUAUUUCACUGGGCUUCCACUGGGCUGUUUUGAUGGGAGGGGAUGACUCAGCUACUUCUCUGUUUAGCACAGACUUGAAAAUGAACAUGAAAAUUGUUCCACAUAGAAGUGUUGUAUAAAUGACUGAUGAAUA
Austrofundulus limnaeus is the source of this 911-nucleotide long non-coding RNA. RefSeq lists it as uncharacterized. NCBI's taxonomy places the organism in Eukaryota, Metazoa, Chordata, Actinopteri, Cyprinodontiformes, Rivulidae. The transcript has 3 exons. The record is from RefSeq and is a predicted model, not a curated record.